AUUGAACGCUGGCGGCAGCCUAACACAUGCAAGUCGAGCGGAUGAAGGGAGCUUGCUCCUGGAUUCAGCGGCGGACGGGUGAGUAAUGCCUAGGAAUCUGCCUGGUAGUGGGGGAUAACGUCCGGAAACGGGCGCUAAUACCGCAUACGUCCUGAGGGAGAAAGUGGGGGAUCUUCGGACCUCACGCUAUCAGAUGAGCCUAGGUCGGAUUAGCUAGUUGGUGGGGUAAAGGCCUACCAAGGCGACGAUCCGUAACUGGUCUGAGAGGAUGAUCAGUCACACUGGAACUGAGACACGGUCCAGACUCCUACGGGAGGCAGCAGUGGGGAAUAUUGGACAAUGGGCGAAAGCCUGAUCCAGCCAUGCCGCGUGUGUGAAGAAGGUCUUCGGAUUGUAAAGCACUUUAAGUUGGGAGGAAGGGCAGUAAGUUAAUACCUUGCUGUUUUGACGUUACCAACAGAAUAAGCACCGGCUAACUUCGUG
RNAcentral lists this ribosomal RNA (483 nucleotides) under uncultured bacterium. Its description in RNAcentral is "partial 16S ribosomal RNA". It matches the Rfam family "Bacterial small subunit ribosomal RNA", at positions 30 to 507 of the family's 1533-position model. The record is from RNAcentral.